Long non-coding RNA from Alligator sinensis (Chinese alligator), 559 nucleotides. RefSeq lists it as uncharacterized. The transcript is spliced from 3 exons. The record is from RefSeq and is a predicted model, not a curated record. NCBI's taxonomy places the organism in Eukaryota, Metazoa, Chordata, Crocodylia, Alligatoridae.
UUCAAGAGGGAGAAAUCUGACACCAUCCGUUGUUGUUCUCGAGAAGCUGAAAGAAAUAGAUCGUCUUUCUGUCAUCUGUUUAACCUUCAACGAUCAUGCUAAUAACUUUACCAGUCAGCAAACAACCCGAGUGCAUUGGAAUGAGUUUACAAUAUCCAAUGGAAGUUAUCUGGAAGCAUUUCAGCCACAUUCAAAUGUACCUAUAUGAAAUGAUGGAAAAGAGGAGCUGCAGCAGCGUGACAAGAGCGAUGGUGUGACGUGAAGCAAUCUCCAUCUAAUCCAAACCAAUACAGCUACAACCUAGGUACCUGACACAUGGAAGAUAUUGAAUUUUAGUCAAUUUUUAAAAUGAAAUCUUCAUAUUUUCCUAAGCGGGAAGCAACUGUGACCACCUAAAACCUAAGAUCCUGCUCCCGCCUUUGUUUCAAGUUAAUAUGCAUCAUCACAGAUCCUCACAGGAGGUAAGAGGCUCCAUACCAGCUAUGAACUGACUGCCCAGAGAAGUCUUCCAUCUAUUGACUCCUCUGUGAAAUCCUCUGAAAUAUGAACUUUCAUUUUU